GGAGGAAGCAGGGGAUCGCAAGACCUUGCGCUUUUGGAGCGGCCGAUGCCUGAUUAGCUUGUUGGUGAGGUAAAAGCUCACCAAGGCUUCGAUCAGUAGCUGGUCUGAGAGGACGACCAGCCACACUGGGACUGAGACACGGCCCAGACUCCUACGGGAGGCAGCAGUGGGGAAUUUUGGACAAUGGGGGCAACUCUGAUCCAGCCAUGCCGCGUGAGUGAAGAAGGCCUUCGGGUUGUAAAGCUCUUUCAGCCGGAACGAAACGGUUACGGUUAAUACCCGUGACUACUGACGGUACCGGAAGAAGAAGCACCGGCUAACUACGUGCCAGCAGCCGCGGUAAUACGUAGGGUGCGAGCGUUAAUCGGAAUUACUGGGCGUAAAGCGUGCGCAGGUGGUUUUGUAAGUCAGAUGUGAAAUCCCCGGGCUUAACCUGGGAACUGCGUUUGAAACUACAAAGCUAG
This 464-nucleotide ribosomal RNA is filed under the name uncultured bacterium. RNAcentral's name for it is "bacterial SSU rRNA". It matches the Rfam family "Bacterial small subunit ribosomal RNA", at positions 199 to 644 of the family's 1533-position model. The record is from RNAcentral.